CUUUUGUCACUUCUCUGCUAUUUUUAGGGUUUGGAAGCAAGAGCGAUUGAUCAUGAGAACACGUAGCAAAAAGACCAAAACCGUGAACAACAACAAGAAUCUACAAAAGUCGGAAGAUAAAAACACGUUUGAUCAACUGCCUCUGGACCUAUUGAUCGAGAUAUCUAGGAGGUUGCCUUUGAAAUCUGUAGCUAGGUUUCUCACACUAUCCAAGUUAUGUGCAACAACUAUCCGCAGUCCAAGCUUCAUCAAAUCCUUCCCGUCGCAGCCUUGUACCCUAAUCGCUGUCGCCCCUGUAAUCAAUUUCCCUCCCAGGCGUUUUAAAUCUAGGGGACACCAAAAUUUGUACUUCUUCUCAUCAUCAUCGUCUUUUCUAUCACGUUUGACAUGUCCGUCCCCGUAUCCUAAUUACGUAGAGUACCAUUAUCAUUAUGUUAAUGGAUUGAUAAGCGUUGGAUAUGGUCGAGAGCAAAUCGUAACUAACCCCAGUACUGGUAGAUUCAUCUCUUUACCAAGUGUCAGAACAAGGAGAAGGGUCGUAAAAAGUUUUUUCGGGUAUGAUCCUGUUACUGAUCAAUACAAAGUGUUGUCCAUGACGGAGAGACUUCAUGGCCAUAACCAAGAUCCAUCAUCUCAACAUCAAGUGUUCACACUGGGAGAAAAAAAGCCAUGGAGAAUGAUAGAUAGUACUAGCAUUCCUGAUCACCGUACGUCCUUGGUCUAACGGUGUGUGCAUAGAUGGCGUUGUGUAUUAUGUUGCUAAAACGGGGCAAGGUAUGUCACAACUGAGCUUAAUGAGAUUUGAUUUGAGGGCUGACAAUAUGAAUCUUUUUACUAGUUUACCUGAAGAGAUUCGAACUCCAACAAUAUAUAGUGACACUUUGAUAAACUACAAGGGGAAACUAGCCAUGGCCGCUCCAGUUACAUCAUUUACAUUCGAUGUGUGGGUUCUGGAUCAGGAUAAAUGUUUGAAGAAAAUAACUUUCAGUAUUGAACCUUGGAAGAGUUUAUUUCGUUGUUUACGCGUCAGAGGCACUACUUGUACGGGUGAGUUUAUUCUCGCACCAUCGUACUAUUCUGAUGAGUUUUAUGUCUUCCAUUACAAUCCCGACAAGAAUAGUUUUACCAAGAUUAAGAUUGAUCAAGGUUCCGCACACUGUGAGUUCAAGGGUCGUAGUUAUAAAGCAUUUGUCUUUUCGGAUUACAGAGAGAGUGUUAGAUUGUUGUCGGAGAGACAAUUCAUGAUUUGAUACCCAUAAUCUUGUUUUUUGUACUUUCGUUAAUUACUCUGUUGAUACUUAUGCUUAUUUUCAAGUCUCUCGUUUUUUUGUUUUUUUUGUUUAAUUAAGUAUACUACCUAAAUGCACUAUUUGUGUAUAUGGAGAUCGGACAUAGUAACCAGGUUGCAGGGUUGACUCAAGUAUUCGGCAUCACAAAAGACAGUUUUGGUAACCUAUCUACGCUUAUUAUCCUAUGCAAUCUUAGCUCAUUGCUUCCUCUGCCUCUUCUCGGUCUUUUACCGCGAGAUUCUCCAGAUACUCUUACUAACGAUGAUGCAGACAUUGAGAUGAAGUCCAAUUAAGGAACGUGGUGAUAAUCUCAAAUGUUAAAUGUCAUACCUUUUUGGAGUUGUGUGUAUUCAGUUCCAACCCUGUGAUUACUUGAGAAGAAUGAAGCAGGGUUUUAACUUGAAAACUACUUCAUUACCCAUAUCAUGUAACCAAAAUGUUGCAAUUCUAAAAAACAAUAAACUCUUUGUUAAAUUGCAGAAACCUACUUCAAUAUGCAAAAUUAGUAAUGACAGUAAUCUCUACAAUUAAGUUUCUAACACGAUUCUAGAUUUGAUUCGACGUACAUCAUU
Molecule: RNA transcript, 1861 nt
Organism: Arabidopsis lyrata subsp. lyrata
Lineage: Eukaryota; Viridiplantae; Streptophyta; Magnoliopsida; Brassicales; Brassicaceae
Gene name: putative F-box protein At1g26515
Exons: 1
Source: RefSeq, a predicted model, not a curated record